This 246-nucleotide ribosomal RNA is filed under the name uncultured Lactobacillus sp. RNAcentral describes it as "partial 16S ribosomal RNA". It matches the Rfam family "Bacterial small subunit ribosomal RNA", at positions 116 to 354 of the family's 1533-position model. Lineage: Bacteria; Bacillati; Bacillota; Bacilli; Lactobacillales; Lactobacillaceae. The record is from RNAcentral.
CGUGGGUAACCUGCCCAAGAGAUCGGGAUAACACCUGGAAACAGAUGCUAAUACCGGAUAACAACAGAUGAUGCCUAUCAACUGUUUAAAAGAUGGUUCUGCUAUCACUCUUGGAUGGACCUGCGGUGCAUUAGCUAGUUGGUAGGGUAACGGCCUACCAAGGCGAUGAUGCAUAGCCGAGUUGAGAGACUGGUCGGCCACAUUGGGACUGAGACACGGCCCAAACUCCUACGGGAGGCAGCAGAU